CCCUUAGAUGUUCUGGGCUGCACGCGCGCUACACUGAUGCACUCAACGAGUUUACGACCUUGCCCGAUAGGGUUGGGUAAUCUUUUUAAAAUGCAUCGUGAUGGGGAUAGAUUAUUGCAAUUAUUAAUCUUCAACGAGGAAUUCCUAGUAAGCGCGAGUCAUCAGCUCGUGCUGAUUACGUCCCUGCCCUUUGUACACACCGCCCGUCGCUCCUACCGAUUGAGUGCUUAGGUGAAUAAUUCGGACUGCAGCAAUGUUUGGAUCCCGAACGUUGCAGCGGAAAGUUUAGUGAACCUUAUCACUUAGAGGAAGGAGAAGUCGUAACA
Molecule: ribosomal RNA, 326 nt
Filed under: uncultured eukaryote
Lineage: Eukaryota
Description: partial 18S ribosomal RNA
Rfam family: Eukaryotic small subunit ribosomal RNA
Source: RNAcentral